UUCUCUUUCAUCUUCCGCGUCGGCGUUUCACGUUUUGGUCUUGCUUUCCGGGAGUUCGCCAUCAACAUCGGUUCCGCGAUGGUCAACGGAUUGACGUCCGGCAAGCAGCGUGUGUGCCGAUUGUGCGCGACCGCCCAGUUCGAGCUGGGUCCGAUCUUCGGCGAUCUAGCCGAAAAGAUCUACGACUGCACAACGGUAGAGAUCAGCAACGCGGACGCCCUGAUUUGCCAACAAUGCCGGGCCACGAUUGUUGUGAAUCAUCAUUUCGUCGAGAGUUGCCGGAACGCGAACCAAAAGUUCCACCGGAUGUUUGGCCCGCUGGUCCGGCAGCACAUCCGCACGAGCGUUGCUGGUUUCAGCGCUAGAUCUGUGACUCGGGACGCCAGGCGGGUCGAAAGUGGUGGCAAGCGGUUGGCUUUACCGAAGGCGGUCCCCACCAAGAGUGUGGUCAACGGAGCCGUUCCGGCGAAGCACUACCUUUUGCAGCAUUUGACCAAUGAUGAUGACCCAGCACGGCGGCGGCGGCGCCAAUCGAUCGACGAGGACCGCAAAGUUAAGCCGAAACGAGAGGUCAAGGGGCGCCUUUCGGAGGAAUCGCACAAUUCGAUGGCCUCGAUUGAGCUUGCGGCGGCCAAAAUUGAGGCAGCGCUGUUGGCCGGCAUUGUACCGAAGACCGAGCCGGGCCACCAAAAGUGCCCCAAGUGUGGCCAGUUGGUGCUGAAUCUGCGGAAGCACAUGGAUCUACACUCGACCAUCGCAAAGUUUCUUUGCGAAAUCUGCGACAAGGCGUUCACCAAACGCUGCAACCUUAAGUACCACAUGAACUUGCACACGGGCGAGAAGCCAUACGAGUGCGGUGCGUGUGGCCUAAGGUUUGCCUGUCCGUCCACACUCUGCACCCACCGGAAACACAACCGCGAAUGUGGCAACAGCUAUCAACGGGGGGUGCGCGCCAGCGUGUUCAAGCACCGGUAGUUAGUUGAUCGAGGAGCCCAUGCGCGCACCAACCAUCCCGAUCGGAAGCAUCCGUGCGAAACGUCACCCGGAAGCAGUUGAGCCGCGGCGGCGCCUGGCAAAUAAUAAAUUAUACCUGAAACGGUGCUUAAUGUUAAUGUUGUCGAACGAAGGGGUCAACAAGGAGAUAUUAGACUAUUAGAUAUUAACUGAUUAUAUAAUUGAUGAACAUAACAUUUUUGCUA
RNA transcript from Culex quinquefasciatus (southern house mosquito), 1199 nucleotides. It is a transcript of the gene named zinc finger protein 574, with no coding region annotated. The record is from RefSeq and is a predicted model, not a curated record. The transcript has 5 exons. NCBI's taxonomy places the organism in Eukaryota, Metazoa, Arthropoda, Insecta, Diptera, Culicidae.